This 253-nucleotide ribosomal RNA is filed under the name uncultured bacterium. RNAcentral describes it as "partial 16S ribosomal RNA". It matches the Rfam family "Bacterial small subunit ribosomal RNA", at positions 524 to 776 of the family's 1533-position model. The record is from RNAcentral.
UACGUAGGUGGCAAGCGUUAUCCGGAUUUAUUGGGCGUAAAGGGAACGCAGGCGGUCUUUUAAGUCUGAUGUGAAGGCCUUCGGCUUAACCGGAGUAGUGCAUUGGAAACUGGGAGACUUGAGUGCAGAAGAGGAGAGUGGAACUCCAUGUGUAGCGGUGAAAUGCGUAGAUAUAUGGAAGAACACCAGUGGCGAAAGCGGCUCUCUGGUCUGUAACUGACGCUGAGGUUCGAAAGCGUGGGUAGCAAACAGG